CGCGCGUCCACGAGCGCACGCUGCCGCGUGUAUAUGUGAAUGAGAUAGGGGGUGAGCACGAUAGCAAAAGAGGAGAGUCGCGUAUUGAUCGUGUCGCACGGGGGUGGAGUAACCGCCGACCGACUGGCUGGUCUGUCUUCUAUACCGGCGCGUGUUGCGUCCAAAGAAUGAGACGGAAAAUGUGAAAAGAGAGAGAGUAGCCCUUCGAGAACAGGGCCUCCGUCUGUAUAUCAACACCAUAGGCUAUAAUAGAAAGUAUCGAGGACGACCGAGAGAAAGACAGUGCGUCGCCUUGAAAUCAGGUUCAACUCUUGCCAGUUUCGGUUCUUUAAUCAGAAGAUAUAAAAUGAAGUUAAAAGUAGAAGAAAGCGAAAACACAAAGACAUGAUGCUAGAGGGAUAGAGUGCCAAGUCGAAAAUAUAUAUCAGUCAGUAGCCAGCCGGACAGUCUAGUCAAAGUCUUUGAAUUUUUCGAGAGUCGCCGAGUUCAAAAAUGGAUCUCACUAUACUAUUGCCAACGUUUCCUCGCCACUUAUAAAUUUGACUUUCUCUUUUCUCAUUCACAAUGUAUAUAUCUGUUGUGAACAGGGUGAAGUUGCCACCUCUAAUGCGAAUUUUUACAAAAGUUAAACGGCACUCGUUUGUCCACGAUUUGUUCACAUUUGUUUAACCAAAAUUCUCGUUGGCCCACUAUUCAAAAAAAGUUAUCAGUUUUUUAAAAUUUCCAUUGGAUGAUAAAUCUUUUUUGAGAGAUGG
This 755-nucleotide unclassified non-coding RNA is filed under the name Bombus terrestris (buff-tailed bumblebee). Its description in RNAcentral is "misc RNA ENSBTSG00005026838.1". The record is from RNAcentral. Lineage: Eukaryota; Metazoa; Arthropoda; Insecta; Hymenoptera; Apidae.